AAAUUACAGAGCAUAUGAGCAUCAUCAAGUAAUGAAGAAGCUUUGGAUGGUUAGGGUACUCUCUAAAAUCAUGGUUUAUUUGGUUUGAGGUGUUGGACGUGAGGGAUCCGUUCGGAUCUGGUCUCCUUUAGAUCUUGAACUGUUUUUCCGGCAUCUAGGUUCGAUUUUAUGGGCGAGAAUAUGGAACCUAUGAUUCUGGUGGUUUGAUUUUUGAUUACACGGAUGGCUUGAUUCUGUGUGUUUCCGAUCUGUCUUUUAUGCUUUACUAUUUAUCUAUGAUUUUCUUUUUAGACGCUUCCUCAGUUUCUUUAACUUGUGUUUGUUCAUCUUUUUCUUCCUCUUCUUCUUCACGCUGUCAG
RNAcentral lists this long non-coding RNA (359 nucleotides) under Panax ginseng (ginseng). Its description in RNAcentral is "long non-coding RNA (PGIN_LNC002707)". Lineage: Eukaryota; Viridiplantae; Streptophyta; Magnoliopsida; Apiales; Araliaceae. The record is from RNAcentral.